GAGUUUGAUCAUGGCUCAGAUUGAACGCUGGCGGCAGGCCUAACACAUGCAAGUCGAGCGGUAGAGAGAAGCUUGCUUCUCUUGAGAGCGGCGGACGGGUGAGUAAUGCCUAGGAAUCUGCCUGGUAGUGGGGGAUAACGUUCGGAAACGGACGCUAAUACCGCAUACGUCCUACGGGAGAAAGCAGGGGACCUUCGGGCCUUGCGCUAUCAGAUGAGCCUAGGUCGGAUUAGCUAGUUGGUGGGGUAAUGGCUCACCAAGGCGACGAUCCGUAACUGGUCUGAGAGGAUGAUCAGUCACACUGGAACUGAGACACGGUCCAGACUCCUACGGGAGGCAGCAGUGGGGAAUAUUGGACAAUGGGCGAAAGCCUGAUCCAGCCAUGCCGCGUGUGUGAAGAAGGUCUUCGGAUUGUAAAGCACUUUAAGUUGGGAGGAAGGGUUGUAGAUUAAUACUUUGCAAUUUUGACGUUACCGACAGAAUAAGCACCGGCUAACUCUGUGCCAGCAGCCGCGGUAAUACAGAGGGUGCAAGCGUUAAUCGGAAUUACUGGGCGUAAAGCGCGCGUAGGUGGUUAGUUAAGUUGGAUGUGAAAUCCCCGGGCUCAACCUGGGAACUGCAUUCAAAACUGACUGACUAGAGUAUGGUAGAGGGUGGUGGAAUUUCCUGUGUAGCGGUGAAAUGCGUAGAUAUAGGAAGGAACACCAGUGGCGAAGGCGACCACCUGGACUGAUACUGACACUGAGGUGCGAAAGCGUGGGGAGCAAACAGGAUUAGAUACCCUGGUAGUCCACGCCGUAAACGAUGUCAACUAGCCGUUGGGAGCCUUGAGCUCUUAGUGGCGCAGCUAACGCAUUAAGUUGA
This 864-nucleotide ribosomal RNA is filed under the name uncultured bacterium. RNAcentral's name for it is "bacterial SSU rRNA". It matches the Rfam family "Bacterial small subunit ribosomal RNA", at positions 9 to 868 of the family's 1533-position model. The record is from RNAcentral.